This 71-nucleotide transfer RNA is filed under the name Valvatida sp. 1-EK-2003. RNAcentral describes it as "tRNA-Leu". It matches the Rfam family "tRNA". Rfam says of the family: Transfer RNA (tRNA) molecules are approximately 80 nucleotides in length. Their secondary structure includes four short double-helical elements and three loops (D, anti-codon, and T loops). The record is from RNAcentral. Lineage: Eukaryota; Metazoa; Echinodermata; Asteroidea; Valvatida.
GUUAUGGUAGCAAAGGGGUACUGCUUUAGAUUUAGGAUCUACUAUCGAGGGUUCGAGUCCCUCCCUUAAUU